CAACCCCGCGAGGGGGGAGCGAAUUCCCAUAAAAGCCCGAUCUCAGUUGGAUUGCAGGGCUGCAAACUCGCCUGCAUGAAGUUCGGAAUCACUAGUACCCGCAGAUCAGCUACGCUGCGGUGAAUACGUUCCCGGGCCUUGUACACACCGCCCGUCACGUCACGAAAGCUAGUUGUACCCGAAGUCGCUGGGCUAACCGCAAGGAGGCAGGCGCCGAAGGUAUGGUUGGUGAUUGGGACGAAGUCGUAACAAGGUAGCCGUAUCGGAAGGUGCGGCUGGAUCACCUCCUUUCUG
This 294-nucleotide ribosomal RNA is filed under the name uncultured bacterium. Its description in RNAcentral is "partial 16S ribosomal RNA". It matches the Rfam family "Bacterial small subunit ribosomal RNA", at positions 1250 to 1533 of the family's 1533-position model. The record is from RNAcentral.